UUAAAAAGACAAGAGUAAUACAGG
Molecule: non-coding RNA, 24 nt
Filed under: Drosophila melanogaster (fruit fly)
Lineage: Eukaryota; Metazoa; Arthropoda; Insecta; Diptera; Drosophilidae
Source: RNAcentral